AUUGAACGCUGGCGGCAGGCUUAACACAUGCAAGUCGAGCGGGGGAAGGUAGCUUGCUACCGGACCUAGCGGCGGACGGGUGAGUAAUGCUUAGGAAUCUGCCUAUUAGUGGGGGACAACAUCUCGAAAGGGAUGCUAAUACCGCAUACGUCCUACGGGAGAAAGCAGGGGAUCUUCGGACCUUGCGCUAAUAGAUGAGCCUAAGGCGGAUUAGCUAGUUGGUGGGGUAAAGGCCUACCAAGGCGACGAUCUGUAGCGGGUCUGAGGGGAUGAUCCGCCACACUGGGACUGAGACACGGCCCAGACUCCUACGGGAGGCAGCAGUGGGGAAUAUUGGACAAUGGGGGGAACCCUGAUCCAGCCAUGCCGCGUGUGUGAAGAAGGCCUUAUGGUUGUAAAGCACUUUAAGCGAGGAGGAGGCUACUCUAGUUAAUACCUAGGGAUAGUGGACGUUACUCGCAGAAUAAGCACCGGUUAACUCUGUGCCAGCCGCCGCAGUAA
This 501-nucleotide ribosomal RNA is filed under the name uncultured bacterium. RNAcentral describes it as "partial 16S ribosomal RNA". It matches the Rfam family "Bacterial small subunit ribosomal RNA", at positions 30 to 523 of the family's 1533-position model. The record is from RNAcentral.